This 494-nucleotide ribosomal RNA is filed under the name uncultured bacterium. Its description in RNAcentral is "partial 16S ribosomal RNA". It matches the Rfam family "Bacterial small subunit ribosomal RNA", at positions 28 to 507 of the family's 1533-position model. The record is from RNAcentral.
GACGAACGCUGGCGGCGUGCUUAACACAUGCAAGUCGAACGGAAAGGCCUGCUUUCCCUUGUGGAUUGCGGGUGCUCGAGUGGCGAACGGGUGAGUAACACGUGAGUGAUCUGCCCCCAACUUGGGUAUAAGCCUGGGAAACUGGGUCUAAUUCCCGAUAGGACUGCAGGGUGGUGCCUGUGGUGGAAAACGAUUUUCUAGUGGUUGGGGAUGAGCUCGCGGCCUAUCAGCUUGUUGGUGGGGUAAUGGCCUACCAAGGCGGCGACGGGUAGCCGGCCUGAGAGGGUGGACGGCCACAUUGGGACUGAGAUACGGCCCAGACUCCUACGGGAGGCAGCAGUGGGGAAUAAUGCACAAGGGGCGGAAGCCUGAUGCAGCGACGCCGCGUGGGGGAUGACGGCCUUCGGGUUGUAAACUCCUUUCGACCGCGAGGAAGCCACCUGGUUGGAAGGGUGGUGACGGUAGUGGUAGAAGAAGCACCGGCUAACUACGUG